This is an RNA transcript of Nelumbo nucifera (sacred lotus), 4917 nucleotides long. RefSeq lists it as uncharacterized. NCBI's taxonomy places the organism in Eukaryota, Viridiplantae, Streptophyta, Magnoliopsida, Proteales, Nelumbonaceae. The record is from RefSeq and is a predicted model, not a curated record.
UUUAAUCCAGAACUUUUGAACUUUCAAAAAUAGUCUCUGUUUCUUCAAUUCAUCUCUAUUCCCUCUUUUCUCCAUUGCCGUCAGCACAAAUAAAAGCUUCAAGAUUCGUCUCAGGCGCCAGCUCCGCGACCCCAACCAGGGUUUCGCCAUGUCUGUUAACCCUACUACGAAUGAAGACCCCUCGGAGAACCUCGACCUUAACUCCGACGCUGCCCCACUCUCAGAGCAGGACAAGAUUUGUAGCGCUAGGGUUACGGAAUCUACAUUCACUGUCACUGCCUCCGUGGUUGAAACCCUAACGGAAGAUCACUCUAACGGUAAUGGACAGGCCGAAGGUCCUCCUCCCGAAGGAGGAAGCAACGGGCUUGGAGCUUGUGGUGAAGGAGAGAAUCUGGUAGAGCCAUUGCUUCAAGCCUCUGAGGCUCGUCACGAGGGAACGAACUCUCAUGGGGCAGAAGAAUAUAUGAAAGAAGCAGCAUCUCCUGUUAUUUUGCUCAAGGAGACUAUAACGGAAACAACUGUUGAAAAAAUCCAAGUUGAAACCCUAACGGAGGAGCCCUCGGACGGUCAGGUUCCGGUCGAGGACUCCCAUCACGAAGGAAAAUUCAACGGCCAUGGUGUCUGUGGCGAAGAAGGGAAUGCGGUACAAGCAUUGGCCAUGGGUUCUGAUGUUUGUGUUGAUGGGAAGGACAUUCAUGGGGCAGAUGAUAGUUUGAAUGAAGAGGUGGGACACUCUGGUCCGGUCAAUGAGGAUUUGGAGAAAGAAAUGAAAUCUGUAGAUGCAGGCAUUGAUCAAGAAGAAAAUGUUAAUUCGAAUGAAAAGGUGGGUACUACUAAUUCUGUCAAGGAGGAUUUAGAGAGAGAAAUGAAAUCUGUAACUGCAGUCAUUGACCAAGAAGGAGAUGGUAAGUGUAGUCCUUUUGAUGCUGAAGUGGGAAAGAUGGAACCGACUGUUGAACAAAUCCAGUCCGUGGAUGAAGGGACAGAGCCAGUAGUCAAAAACCCAGACUUUUUUGAACCCAAAGACAGCGACCUGGAGAGAAAUCCAAGCUUGGAGCUUGAGGGAUACAGAGAAGAGAAGAAUGUUAGAGAUGCAGAUCCUUUGGUAAGUUUUAAAUCCUUUAUGAGUGCUGAUGAUAAUAGACCUCCCCCUGGGAGGAGCUCGGGUAGUUGUGAAGAGAGUAGUUCUAUGCAAGAUAACUUACUAGAUACAGAUGAUCAAGUUGCUCCAAGCAAACUUUCUGAGGUUGGUGGAUCUCAAGCAGUAGUUUCUGAUGCUUCACUGCAUGGUAAGGUUGAAGUUGAUUUUGAUCAAGUUACUGACCCUGGUGAACCCUGGCCAGAGGGGAACCUGCAAACUGAGGCUCAGCUAGCUGGUGUCUGCAUUUCUACUCUCGAAGACCAAAGUGUUUGCCAACCUUUCUCUGAGCAGGGAUCUCAUGUAAUGGAAAAUCAGGCAAUGGAAGUGGAAGUUGAGACUCAAGUAGUAGUUGGUUCUAGCAUCCAGGAUGAAAAUCAAAAAAUAGAGAUUGCUGGACAAGGUACAAGUGUUGAACAACAGGAAAAAAUGGAGGAGACUGCUCCAAAUCAGCAAGGUUUAAAUCAUGGAAACACCUCCAUUGAGGAUAACUGUACUGUUUAUGACUCACCACCAGAAGAAGAUGGUGUUUUUUCUGUUUCUGACUUGGUUUGGGGCAAAGUGAAGAGUCAUCCCUGGUGGCCUGGACAGAUAUUUGAUCCUUCAGAUUCAUCAGAGAAAGCAAUGAAAUAUCGCAAAAAGGAUAGCUUUCUGGUAGCCUAUUUUGGGGAUCAAACUUUUGCUUGGAAUGAGGCAUCAUUAUUGAAGCACUUCCACACACAUUUCUCAGAAAUGGAGACGCAGAAUAAUUCAGUGGCAUUCCGUACUGCAGUCAACUCUGCUUUGGAUGAGGUUUCCAGACGGGUGGAGUUGGGGAUGGCCUGUUCCUGUACAUCGGAAGAAGUAUAUGCAAAGAUCAAAUCACAAAUAAUUGAAAAUGCUGGGAUUCGGGAAGAGUCAAGCAAAAGAGGUGGUGUGGAUAGAUUUCUGAGUGCAAGCUCCUUUGAACCUCAGAAACUCGUGGAGUAUAUCAGAGCAUUAGCUCUUAGCCCAUUGGGUGGAGUUGAUAGAUUGGAACUUGUGAUAGCUCAGGCUCAAUUGUUAGCUCUCUGUCGUUUAAAGGGCUUUACCAGGUUGCCUGAGUUCCAGUUGUGUGGAAGGCUGUUGGAGAAUGAUACAGAGUCAUUGCUUGCUGGGGAGAGCAAGCAUUCUGAAGAAGUGGCUCAGCAUUUGACUCCAGUUUAUUUUAACGAUGAAGAGAACAUGUUUUCUGGAAAAGGAAAGCUGUCAAGUCAAGGUAACUCUUCUCGUAAACGCAGGAACAUUUCACAGGAAAGGCCAUAUCAUAGAAAGAAAGAACGGAGCUUGUCAGAGUUGAUGGAUGGGAAGGAGGAUUCUUCAAAUGUUGUAAUUGAUGGAAAUGAGUCUGAUAGGAAGUCUGCCUCCAAGUUGGCUCUGUCGUCUUCUGGCAAGAAACGUAAGGCCUUUGACUCUCCUUCUGACAAUUUAAGGGUAGAGAAUGGGAAAAGAAAUCUUUCCUCACCCAGAGCUGCUGCUGCCGAGACCCCAAAUCAUAAACAAUCUUUUAAAAUUGGGGACUGCAUCCGCAGAGUUGCAAGCAAAUUGACUGGGUCACCGCCGAUCCUCAAGUGUAACAGUCAAAGUCUUAGAAAAAGUGCAGUUAAAGUAGGUCAAAACACUGAGAAACCUGAUAGAAUUGGUAUUAGUGUCUCUCCCCGUACUCCUGAGUUGCCCAAAAAGGGAGGGGUUAAUCGAACUGAAUAUCCUUCUACAGGUGAAAUGCUAUCUCAGCUUUUCUUGGCCGCACGAGAUCCUGUAAAAGGAUAUAGUUUUCUGACUGUAAUAGUUAGUUUCUUUUCAGAUUAUAGGAAUUCAGUAAUCAUUUAUAAGCGUGGGUCAGGAAAACACAAGAAGUCCUCAGAGAAAGUGAGUAGUGGUAGAACAGAUGAUAGAAAUAAAGAACCACCUACCUCUGAUGCUGAUUCUGCUGAAGCAUUUGAUUUUGAUGAAGAUGUGAAAGACUCUUAUUGGACUGACAGGAUUGUUCAUAUUAGUACUGAGGAGCAACCAUCAAAGAAGGGCCGAAGGAGAAAAGGAGCUCAGAUUGAAAACCUCACAAAGAGUGACAUGUUAAUUGCUGAAUCAGAAAAUUCUCUUCAGUUGAGCCCUAUGUUAGACCCUAAACAACAGAGUUCUGAUGGCUUCUAUGAAUUAACAAUGGACAAACCACUGGAAAUUGUGGAGGCAAAGUAUGAGGAAGAAUUCUCCCCAACAGCAUUAAUACUAAACUUUACUGAGGUUGAUUCCAUCCCUUCAGAAAUGAGUCUGAAUAAGAUAUUUAAACGCUUUGGGCCUUUGAAGGAAUCAGAAACAGAGGUACUAAGGGAAACAAGCUGUGCACAGGUGGUCUUUAAGAGGUGUGCUGAUGCAGAAGUUGCUUGUAGUAGUGCUGGGAAGUUCGGCAUCUUUGGACCUGUAUUUGUUAGCUAUCAGCUUAGGUAUUUGUCAUCAUCACCUGCUAAAACUCCAGUCAGUACCACAAGACGGUGUAGAAGAGCUGCAAUAUCCACUGGAGGCAACCAAACUUGAUUUUUCCAUUAUAGGAAAAGAAAUGACGUGUGGUGCUCAAAGAACGGUGUCAGUUCCCAUGCAAAAUAUGAAACAUUGAAGACAUUGGCAGGGAGUUGCAUAAAUUUUCUUCGCCAUAGAUGGAUUCAAAUUCAUGCUUCAGAUGGGGUAAAUUGAUAAUCAUUUUGGAUGCCUGGAUUGAUAGAGAAGGUUCCUAUUACAUGUGUGGUGUACACUGUUCUUCAGAUUUCAGAGAAGAGGCAAAGGUGUACUGUGUACAUGGAAGAAUUUACCACCCCUUUCUUAUCGAUUCAAAAGUGUACAUUCCCAACAGCCAGUCUUUCUGUGCUAACCAUCAUCCAUGGAGAUUAUCUUUGAAUCCAUCUGAAUUGCACAUUUGAUGGAAGAAAAAGCUACCCAAACUUCACUGAGAUAUUUAGUCUUCUCUGUCCUAACACCAGAUGAUGACAUUUGCAGAAUCCUGUUUGAGAGAGCGAGAGAGAGAGAAUGCUCUGAAGCUUUUAAGUUCACUUGUAAAGAGUCAAUGCUUCAACUGUAGACCUGUAGGCUGUAGUGGAAUCAGAAUCAGAAUCGCCAAUGGACCACUAAAAGCUAAAAUGAUACUUCAGUCCGAUUGGUAAAAAUCUGGAAAGUCGAAGAUAGGUUUACAUGAGCUAAAAAGAUUGGCUUGUUGGGGGUAAAAGCUAUCGUUGGUAGUUUCUUCAGAACAAAUCCAUGGAUUUGUUUCUGACACCACUGCGAAUAAAUGAAAGAAAGAACGAGAUGGUUGUCUCAACAAUACGAAGAAUUAUUAAGAACCGAACGUCUGAGCCUAUGAUUUAACGAAAAGGAGCGAUAAAGUGGUCUUCCAGUAUAUCUCCAUUUGAUCGAGCAUAUUAAAUAAAUAUAAGCACCAAAAGGUUCAGUCCCACUUACAUUUUGUGAAAAAGUGAUUGCAAGCUAGGCUUUAUCCAAUGAUGCGUUCAUUUAUCCUGUGAUGCCAAAGUCUAAUGAUUUGCCCAUGCGAAAAGUGUUGGCAAUGCUUUUUCCAUUGAUCUGUGGACACGGAGACGGAAUGUUGCGCACAGCAUCUCGACCAACGCAAAUGUUCAAAUAAUUUUUAGGGUAAAUUUCUCAAAUCCCCCUUAUGGUUCUGUACUCUGUUUGAAAAUUGAUAUGCUACCUUUAUUGUUUUCGACAAUGGACUAACUUUACCUUAAUGUUAGCAUCCGUUAAUAUUCCAUUAAAAC